Cavia porcellus (domestic guinea pig) is the source of this 6427-nucleotide long non-coding RNA. RefSeq lists it as uncharacterized. The record is from RefSeq and is a predicted model, not a curated record. NCBI's taxonomy places the organism in Eukaryota, Metazoa, Chordata, Mammalia, Rodentia, Caviidae. The transcript has 3 exons.
GGCGACUGUUCCUGGUGCAAGCUGGAACAAUCACGUGGCUUUCUGGAAGGGCAAAACAAACGAGAUCAGCUGAAGAAAGACUGCGCAUCGCACUCUUGGGCAAAAAGGAGCCCGAGACCGGAAGGGUCUGCGUCCACCGAUCAGCAGAAGAUUGAAUGCCUGUUCCCUUCCUCCCGACCUGACUGGACCCCAAUACGGAUGGAGGAUCUGUUGAAAAUCCCCUUCUAUGUUUGGAGCUACUGAGACUCUGGCGCCGCGCUACUCCAAGCCAUUAGGCCUACAGAACCAGUGGCCCUCCUCUGCCUGCUCAGAACUCCGCAGUUCCAGACAAGCUGGGCCUCAGGGACACUGCGUGCCCACCUGCCCCUUGGAAGCUCCACAGUUCUUCAAUCGCAGCCGGGUUAGGGUAUUCACCACAGGCCGCAGUGCUUCAAGAACCUGUGGACCCUCCCUGGUUGCAGAGAUAUCCACAGUCCUCCAGACACAUGGAGAGGCCAAUGCAGGCACCCCAAAUCUGCCCAUCUCCUCCUCUGCAGACCAAUGGCCAGGCGCGGCAGCUAAACAGGCUGGGCUAGGCUGGUAGUGUGGGCCAGCCCACCUAUCGGGAGCUCAGCAGGUCUCCAAAUGAAGCCGGAAUGGGGAGGCUGAUGUGGAAGCCUCAAACCCACCUCUCCCCUUCACUGCACCUGGAAGCCUGAGGGAACUCCAGCAGUCUGGGCGCAGAUAUCCAGAGUCCUCCAGACACGCAGAGAGGCCGGUGAGGGCACCCCAGAUCUGCCCAGCUCCUCCUCUGCAGACCUAUGGCCAGGUGCGGCAGCUAAACAGGCUGGGCUAGGCUGGUAGUGUGGGCCAGCCCACCUAUCGGGAGCUCAGCAGGUCUCCAAAUGAAGCUGGGAAUGGGGAGGCUGAUGUGGAAGCCUCAAACCCACCUCUCUCCUUCACUGCACCUGGAAGCCUGAGGGAACUCCAGCAGUCUGGGCGCAGAAAUCCAGAGUCCUCCAGACACGCAGAGAGGCCAGUGAGGGCACCCCAGAUCUCAGAACUAGAAUUCUUAAAGAAAUGAAGACAAGAAAUCCCAGAGGUCUGGGCUGAAAGUAACCCCCCAGGACUGGCAGUCAACCAAGUGCCCCUUGUAGUAGAGCUCCUACACCCAGGUGGCUCCUAUUUGUUUGCAUCAAUAUCUAAUAAGUCUCCAAGCCCGAAAGGGAAUUGAAGUUCAUGUACAGAGACUAAGAGACAAUGGUAUCCUCAUUCCUUGUGUCUCCCUUGGAACACACCUCUGCUUCCAGUCCAGAAACCAGGGACAACUGACUAUUGCCCUGUGCAAGACCUCCAGGAGGUCAACAGGUGGGUAGUAACUUUAUAUCCAACUGUGCCUAAUCCCUACACUUUACUCAGCCUCCUCAACCCAGAGCACACCUGGUACUCCAUAUUGGACCUCAAGGAUGCCUUCCUCACUCCACCUCUUGCACCCUGGUGAGUCAACCCAUUUUUGCCUUUGAAUUGACUGACCCAGAUUCUGGGGUCAUGGAACAACUGACCUGGACUCGGUUGCCACAGGGUUUUACAAACUUGCCCACUCUUUUUGAUGAGGCCCUGGCCAGAGAUCUCUUGGGGUUUUGAGAGGAACACCCUGAGGUGACUCUUUUACAAUAUGUAGAUGAUCUGCUGAUAGCCUCCCCCACUUUGGAGUCCUGUCAAGAGGCCACAGGGGAGCUACUAAGAACCUUGGGAAAAUUAGGCUACAAGGUUUCAGCCAAAAAGGCCCAAUUGUAUCAACAAACCAUGACUUAUUUGGGCUAUGAGUUACAGGGAGGAAAGAGAACUCUAUCUAAGGAAAGGAUCCAGGCUAUAUUACAGAUUCCUAUCCCAGAAACUAAAAAACAUGUAUGAGAGUUUCUGGGGGCUGUAGAAUACUGUAAGCUGUGGAUUCUAAAUUUUACUGAGAUAGCGCACCCCCUGUAUGACUCCCUUAAGGGAAAAACUCAGAAAUCUUUGGACUGGACAGGUGAAUGUGAACAGGCCUUCCAGCAACUCAAAUGAGCCCUAACAGAGGCCCCAGCCCUGGGACUCCCUGAUGUUACCAAGCCAUUCACCUUGUUCAUAGAUGAACUCAGGAGCAUUGCCAAAGGAGUCCUAACCCAGGACACUGGCCCCUGGAGGAGAACAGUAGCCCACCUCUCUAAAAGACUUGGUCCAGAGGCAGGGGGUUGGUCUCCCUGCCUAAGAAUACUAGCUGCUGUGGCAAUGUUACUUAAGGAGGCUAAGAAACUCACUUUUGGACAAAAGAUUUCUGUGGUGACCUCCCACAGUUUAGAAACUCUUAUCAAGAACCCUCCUGAGAAGUGGCUCUUGAACGCUAGAAUUCUGCAUUAUCAGGCUCUACACCUAGACCCAGAAUCGAUGGUUUUUAAGACUUCCUCAGUCUUAAACCCAGCCACCCUUAUGCCUGAUGAUGAUCCUGGAACUCAAAAUCUGCCUCUUCAUGAGUGUGCAGACCUCCUUGGGAUGCAGCAGAAUCUACAGGCUGAUCUUACUGACCAGCCCUUGGAGAAUGCUGAUAACUACUUCACCGAUGGGAGCAGUUUCAUCCAGGACGGCAAAUGAGUGGCUGGAGCAGCAGUGACCACCGAAAAAGAGGUACUCUCAGUUAAGCGAUUAGAGCCCUUCAGCCCAAAAGGUUGAGCUCACUGCUUUGACUGAAGCAUUAAAGUUAGCCACUGGGAAGAGGGUAAAUAUCUAUACCAACAGUAGAUAUGCUUUUGCUACUGUACAUGUACAUGGAGUCAUCUAUCAAGAGUGAGGUCUCUUAACUUCAGCUGGGACUAAGAUAAAAAAUGCUCCACAGAUUCCAGACUUAUUGGCAGCUGUCUGGCUAUCUCAGCGGGUUGCUAUUAUUCAUUGCAAGGCUCAUCAGACAGGAGAAGACCCCACAUCUAAGGAAUUAAGCAGACCAAACCACUCGAAAAAUAGCAACCACAUCAGAGGGGCCUACCAAGGAAGUAGCUGCCCUAAUGUUGGUCCCUCCUACCUUAUCAGAAUCAGUUUAUAUGAAGAAAGACUCACAAUUAGCAUCUCAGCUUGGAGCAAAGCUCCUCACUCCAGUGGGUUGGUACCAAUUACCAGAUAAGUGAACGCUGUUGCCAGAGGCACUAGGAUGUGAGGUGCUACACCAGGCUGACCAAACCACCCAUUUAGGGGGAACCAAACUUGCUUAAUUGUUCAGAACUUGGUUUUUCAUUCCAAGACUCUCCAAAUUGACUGCAUCUUUGAGCUCCAGAUGCCCACAGUGUCUGUUGGUAAACCUGACCAGGAGUUCACCAGUGGAAACUACCUGGCAUUGAGGAAUGGCCCCAGGAGAACACUGGGAAGUAGACUUUUGACAUGGUAAAGCCUGGUUUACAAGGACAUCGCUAUCUCUCAGUAUUAAUAGGUACUUUUAUUGGCUGGGUAGAAGCUUUUCCUACUAAGUCUGAGUCAACCUUAGUGGUAACUAGAAAACUAUUGCAAGAGAUCAUACCUCAAUUUGGCCUUCCACUGUCCAUGGGGUCCAAUAAUGGCCCAGAUUUCAUAGCCCAACUCACCCAAAAGUUAGCCCAGGCAUUAAGAAUUGAUUGGAAACUUCUCUGUGCUGAUCAACCACAAAGUUCAGGACAAGUAGAAUGUAUGAAUUGAACUCUCAAGGAUACUUUAGCUAAGCUGUCUUUAGAAACUGGCAAUAAUUGGAUGAGCCUUCUUCCCUUUGCUCUGCUGAGAGCUAGAUGUACUCCUUAUGUUUCUGGAAUUUUUCCAUUUGAAGCUAUCUUUGGAAGACUCCUUCCACUGGUUCCAAAGCUCUCUGAGGACAAAUUAGUUGAAAUAACUAACCAAGAUCUCAUUAAGUCCCUCCAGACACUCCAGCCUGUGUUGGCUUCCAUCCACCAGUAGACAAAAACACCCAGACCCGCCUAUGGAGACACCACUAAAGAAUUCCAUCAAACCGGGUACUUCAGUCCUGGUGUGAUGCCAUCAUCAAGACUCCCUCGAACCCCGCUGGGAAGGACCUUUCACCAUGGUGCUCAGUACCUCCACUGCAGUCAAGGUAGCCGGAAAGACUCUGUGGAUUCACCAUACCCACAUAAAGCCACUGGAAACGGCGGACGACGAGCACCAUACCCAAUGGACUGUGUAGCAGACUGGUAAUCCCUUAAAAUUAAAAUUGACUAGACUUAGAUUGCAUCGGGCAUGUACUGCUUUAGCUUGCUUGCCUUUGCCCCUUCUAUUCCACUACUGGAGAUUUUCAUAGCACUGUUACCAACCUCACAUGGCGGGUUCGGACCUCCUGUAAGCUGAGUCAGCUGUUAAAAUCUUUGUAUGGAAGUCCUUGUGAUUGUGGAGGAGGCCAAUUUUGUGGUAGUAAUGGGGAACAAAUUGUUUAGACCAGUCACACAGAUUGUGGAAACAAAAUAGCCAUUCUUGUUACUAGGCCUGCCACUACAGGAGUAACUCAAAUGUGGGAAUGCAAAGAAAAAGCUUGCGUGAUACCUAAAAUAGGUGGCCAACUGGGGCCAUGCCCUAAGGAUUGUCCUUAUUAUUCACAAAUGCAUUCCUCCUGCUAUGACUCAGUGCAGGAAUGCACAGGAAAAGACAGACUUAUUUCACUGCUGAGCUUCUGAGGACAUGUAUUGGAAGGGAUGAGGGCGACUGGUCCAUCACUCCAACAGUAAUAGGAAAUUCAAAGUAUACCCAACCCUCAUGUAAUGGCACAAUUGGUAAACCAGUGUGCUGAAGUAAGGGGGCCCCAAUACAUGUCUCUGAUGGAGGUGGUCCACAGGAUAAGACCAGAGAACUCAUGGCUGAAAAAUGGUUAAACAGAUUACAGAGAUAACAUUUCCCUAGGUGCAUUACCACCCCUUGAUGCUGCCUAAAUCACAGGGAAUUGAUUUGGGUGCUCAGACUUCUGAUAUUCUAGGAGCCACUUAUAGUGCCUUGAAUGUUUCCAACCCAACUUUAGCUAAAGAUUGUUGGGUAUGCAUGGCACAAGGCUCUCCCAUGCCUCUUGCAAUCCCCUCCAAUGCCCCCUGACCACACCAGAAGAACCAGAUCACUUAAAUUGUAGUGCUGGUCUCCCCUUUAGAGUGCAACCAGUAGGAUUUAAAGACUCUCCCUGUCUCCAAGGAAGUUUUCAUAGUGAUACUUCUGUCAUUGAUGUGAGGUUUGUUGCUUUUGCUAACUGUAGUUCUAUAAUUAACCGGACUACCUCUCUUUGUCCUGCCAAAGGACAAGUGUUCAUCUGUGGAGGCAAUCUGGCCCAUACUUUCCUCCCAACCAACUGGUCAGGAAUAUGUGUUACAGCUGUCCUGUUGCCUGACAUAGAGGUUUUACCUGGGGACGAGCCUGUCCCCAUUCUGAGCCUGGAUUACAUUACAGGCUGCACAACGUGGGCAGUUCAAUUUAUCCCUUUAUUGGUGGGUCUGGGAAUAUCAGGAGCCCUGGGUAUUGGGGCAGCAGGAGUGGGGGGUCUCUGUUCAACUUUCCAACCAGGUCAUCAAUGAUGUGCAGGCAUUAUCUAGUACCGUUCAGGACAUUCAAGAUCAAGUAGAUUCAUUAGCUGAAGUAGUUCUUCAAAAUAGAAGAGGGCUAGACCUCCUGAGGGCAGAACACGGAGGGAUCUGUGCAGCAUUGCAAGAACGAUGCUGUUUUUAUGUAAACAAGUCUGGCAUUGUUUGAGAUAAAAUCAAGAGAUUGCAGGAAGACCUGGCAAAAAGAAGAAGAGAGCUAUUUGAAAACCCCUUUGACAAUAUCUGGAAUGGAAUUCUGCCUUAUCUUCUACCCUUGCUUGGACCAUUACUAGGGUUGCUACUCUUGAUUUCAGUAGGUCCUUGUAUAAUCAAUAAACUAACUGCAUAUAUUAGACAACAAAUGCAGAACAUAAAGUUGAUGAUGAUCUGUCAGCAAGCCUAUGAACUUAUUCCCCAGGAUCCAUAGCAUUAAGCCAAAGAUUUGGCCUCAGUCACAACAUCAGAGGGGAAUGUUAUGGCUUAACUCUAACCAAUAUGCCUCCGUCUUGUUCUGUAUGCGCCAUCUCAAUAGGGUUAAGUUUCUAAUCCUUGUAAAAGCUUAAGUUUCAGCUUCUUGUAACUCCCUACCCCCUUUCUGCAUGUUAUUGCUAGCGAGCUGUUCUGAGAUAAUUAACUCCCCUAUCCUCUUUCCGCAUGUUAUUGCAGGUGUGCUAUUCCAAGAUAAUGUUUAACUGCAGGGUGGGAGUAGCGGAAUGCACCAAGAGCUCCAGAUGUUAUCAGAAUGAAGUCAACUAAGUCGACAGCUUUACAGCUUUGUGGUUUUUUUAGCUUUAAAUUUCCCUCCCUUAGUCUGUUAGGUGUGCAGUCUCUGGUUCGAUCCUAAGGAGACUGCGUCACCAGGCCUGGAAUAAAGUCUUUGCUCCAAA